GAUGAACGCUGGCGGCGUGCCUAAUACAUGCAAGUCGAGCGAACAGACGAUGAGCUUGCUCCUUCCACGUUAGCGGCAGACGUGUGAGUAACACGUAUGUCACCUACCUAUAAGACUGGUAUAACUUCGGGAAACCGGAUCUAAUACCGUAUAAGAUUUCGAACCGCAUGGUUCGAUAGUGAAAUAUGGCUUUUCUAUCACUUAUAGAUGGACCUCCGCCGUAUUAGGUAGUUGUUAAUUUCACGGCUUACCAAGGCGACUAUACGUAAACGACGUGAGAGGGGGAUCGGCGACACUGGAAGUGAGACAGGGACAAGAGUCCUGAGGUAGGCAGCAGUAGGGAAUCUGACGCAGUGGGGGAGAGCAUGACGGAGUAAGGGGGAGUGAGUGAUGAAGAUCUUGGGAUCGUAAAAAUGUGUUAUUAGGGAAGAACCAACGUGGAAGUAAAUGAGGACGUAGUGACGGUAACGAGUAAAAAAGCAACGGCUAACUACGUG
Molecule: ribosomal RNA, 497 nt
Filed under: uncultured bacterium
Lineage: Bacteria
Description: partial 16S ribosomal RNA
Rfam family: Bacterial small subunit ribosomal RNA
Source: RNAcentral